AGAGAAGAGCAGCCAAGAAGCACGGCCCCAGAUUCCCUUUCCAGCACAAGGCCUCCUCACUCCGGUGCAAUUCGAUGCACAUCGCAGGUUCAUGCCAUGUCAAGCGUUUGAGUGCAGAAUGUACUUGAUCUGAAGGCAUCUGAGGAAGAAGCCUCUGACAGCAGCUAUGAUUUGUUUUUGGCAGAAUAAGGGUAACGACUUGUCAUCUCCUCGGUUUGAUCCUCUGCCCUUUCAUCAUGGCUUGCAAUGGGAAUGAAGCGCUCUCAGCAGUACAACCACACAGGGAAAGCCCUAAAGAAUGGAGAAGGCAUGCUAAAACUCAAAGAAAAUUAUUCUGACAAACCUGUGUUUCAGAGCCAUUAGUUUCUGAAUCCCCUGUGCCUUCUCACUUAAAAAGUUCCUUUCUGCUCCACCACCUCUUUUUCUGCAUCUCUCUGACAUGGCUGAGCAGCCUCUCACUACACACGAUAUCAUUUAGGGUAGUUUUUCUAACAUCGCUAUCAAGGUGAAACUUCCUCCUUAGAGAUGUUUCAUAUGUUUCAGAUUCAUCUGCAUUUCUUAUCUAGGGACCCAACAGCUCCAUAGCUUGCUGCAAAACAAAGCUGUUCUCAAUAUUUCUUCUUUUCUAUUUCCACUUGUCAUCCUAUCAAAGAAAUUAUUUUGCUAUGUUAGUGAUCUUUUCUUAUAAUGAAAUGCAACCUUCUAAAUUAUUUUUUCCAGUGCUAACAAGGUACCUGCCAGUAAGUUUCCAGGUAGGUAAUGCUCUUUAUAGCUGAACAACAGUUGUAUGGCUGACAAUCCCUGUGUCCCUGUUAUUUCUAGAAGUAGUGGUUUGCUGCAUUUACCACUAAACUUACUUCAUCCAUUUUGAGGUACAAGUUUCUAGCAGGAGUGCACAACCAAUUUAGUUACUUUUUUUAUUGACCACAUUCAAACCCUCAGCCUUAAAAAUUCACCAUUGGCCCAGCUUUAGUUGUGCUUCUCAAAACUCUAACAGGAAGACAACUGGUGUAGGAGAAGCACAGAGAACUUUCCUCUCCUGAACUGUGACUUUGGAACCAGGGACAUGAUAGUAAUCUCAUCACUCAACAAAAAGUGAAAGGUUCCUCCUUUUGACUUUGAGUACAGUAACACGGAAUAAUCUGAAGUGUCAAUAUACACCCUUCCUCUCAAGGCUAUGGAAGAUCAGGACCAAUUGGAUUACAGAAUACCAACUUGGUUUAGAAUAAUGCUUUCAGUACACAGUGAUAAGCAGGAUAAAUAGGAAACUAUUGCCACUGGAGCACAUACAAAAGACAGCAUAGACUACAGAACAUAGGCUAGAAUAACGCACCAUGUCCCUUGUUACUCAAUACAAUGGCCCUGCUACAAGAAUUAACUCCUGAAUUGUAUUCUUGGAACUCCAGAAACAACCACUUUAAGUAAGAGUCACUUUAUGAGGGGUUUUUUUGAGCUUUCCUGUACUUCAGGUCAGCCAAAACCAGAGAGGUUUCAUUUGCAUUUGCCCCAUUUACUGUUAUAAUGGAGGCCAUACAUAAUUCUCGGAAGGCAAAUGCAGGGUCUCACUUCGACCAAAACCAGAAUGCUUAUUUUGAUCUCUUACAAAUAUUCUGAACUCAUCUAUUACUCUGUAAGGCAUUUUUAUCUUCAAGGCCCGUUACUCCAAUAGGAUUGAUUCACAUUCUAUAUCCACAAAAUAGAAGGGCUGGUUUUAAGAACAGCAAUUUAAUCAGCUGCCCUGUGAGUGAGCCCGCAAGUGGAAUUUCCGUACAAUGAACAUAGUGCAUCAUUUUAAUUGAAAACCAUCUGAUUAGAUAAUUUACAACCAACAUUUACAAAUUAGACAGCUGAACCUAAACUAUGUGAAAAGUUUCUUUUUUAGUCUAAUUUGUACUUGCGUAGAGUGAAAGUUUUUAGCUUUUUUUCCUGCAAUAGAGAGAUUGGUCUUCAAAUAACUGUAAUUAAGGAUGUGAGCAAUCUGCAGACUGAGAAUGAUUUACAGCACAUCAGCUUUGUUCUAAAGCAAAGGCAGAAAACAACGACAGGUCAGUGAGAAAUGAAUUUCUUUAGGACAAUUAAUUACUAGGCCCUGCAUGCCAAUAACAGUGAAAUAAUUCAUGUAAGAAAAUACUUUUAUAAAUGGUUGGAUGACACAGUAAAAAGCUGAUUAUAACACAGUACAUCAUAACAAGUGAUUGGCCUCAAGAAGGUCUUCUUCAGCCCUCCACUAUACACUUGGAUAUAACACGGUCAUUUUGGAUGUUUGGCAUGUGACUUUGGGGGACUGGACUAGAUUAUCUAUAAAGGUCCCUUCCGACUCAAACCACUCUGUGUUCUGAUGUUGAUGUGAUUGACUACUGAGAAUUUUGACUAGGUGAGAAGAGUAUUCAAAGAGUAUCCAAAUCUGUCAGCUUUAAUAAACAUCUGCAAUUUGCAGCCUAAGAUCCUUCUCCAUACACACGGCCCCUCUUCCCAGUAGAAAUUAAAACAGUGAGAAUUUGCAAGAUCAGGGCCCUACUUGUAGAGAAAUUAAGAAAUACCAUAGAUCCAGAGGACAGUUUGCAUCUGCUUCUCACUUUCUGUUACAAAAUUAACAGUCAAUAGGAGGAAACAGAUCUUAAGUUGAUUAUUACUCCCUCUUUUAGAAAAAACAAGACAGUUCUGCAUGAUAGAUUCAGAAACCAAACUUGCAGCAUUCAUUCAUUUUCUUAGAGCACCUUAAAAAUCAGCUCACUCAUUGUUUUUGCCACAGAGACUUUUACCACCACCCAACAGCCAGGGCAAUUCUAAACCGUAACACCUACUUCAUCAAGUUUUGCUAUUCUGGGCAAAAUUAAAGUUACCAGGAAUUACUUGUUUCCAUCAGAGCAACUUCACCUAGAACACACCUAACUCUUUCUGUAGCCAAACAGAAAUGGAAACUAUCUAAACCAGUUUUGUGGUUUUGUUGUUGCUGUUUUGUUUUGUUUUUUUCCCCCUCCCAUAUUUUCACCCAUUUUCUUCUCAAAAUCAGCUUUUGGGAAAAAAAAAAAUACCAGCCAGAACUCAGGAAAGGAGGAGGAGAAAGUACAAUAUAACCAGAGGGUUGUUUGGAAAUCAUCGUGAGGAGGAGGGAACCUAGAAACUAAAUAUUUUCUUCUGUCUACUUUUCAGAAUAAUUUCUAGAUGCUACAAGCUUGCUGCAGAAGAGGUAAGUACACAGUAAGACAUACAGACUUAAUUCAGAUUAUAUUCAAGUAUAUUAAGUGCCUGAACGCUACAUAGUUUUAAGAGCUUCCUAGCUUCAAAAGUAUUAAACUUUCCCUAUAAAUGAGCAUGGCUAUCUGCUACUCUAAAUAUCCUUCCUUUGAAUUCUUCCUUUGGCAGCCAGGACUUGGCCAGAGUGAAGCUGAGUGAGAGAGUUUUAAUGUAUUAAUACAUGAGAAGCAAUUUCAAGUGAGGAGAAAAAAAAAAAAUAUAGUUGCUUCAGAGCAAAGAGAAAAAAUUAUGGUCAGAAAGAGUUUUUAGAAAUGCAAAUGGAAGCUUGGCAUUUUACAUUUCCACAUGUUUCCCGCAGCCAGGCUAAAUCCCAGCAAGUUGUCCCAGAUUCUUGAAGACCAAAAAGAAAAGCAAAAAACAUCCUAAGUCAAACUAAGCAGGAGCAAACGAUACCUUUUCUGAAGGUAUAGGAAAAAUUUCAGAAGUAGAAACCCUUUGGCAGUCUCAGUGCUUUAUAGCAAAAAUGGAAAAAUAUAAUAAAUUAACAUAUUUCUUGAAAAAAACAGAAAGUAUUUGAAAUUCCUUUACUGAGACUCAUUUCAAAGUUAUUGAAAAAAAAAGAUAUGAGACAUGUUUUCUAUAUUUUUAUAUUAGAUAGGUUGAUCUGGAGACACUGUUCUUUAUUUCGAAUGCUUUUAACAUCCAUUUGAGACAAAAAGCUAGAGAAGAUUUAGUAACUCAGAAAUUUCAUCUUUUUGUGCUCAGUGUCUUUAAUUCCAUUUAGUGCUUUCAAGUUUUGCAUCCAAAAUUAGAGAUUAGCUGAACAAACAUCAUACAUGUCCACAUACCAACACAAGUCACAUGUAUUCUUCACGGAUUCAAAAUGAGUUAUAAACACUAAAGUAACAGCAGAGCUGUUCAGAAUGUGUCUCCCAAAACUGACCCCAUUUGGUGGGUUGUGGAGGUAAAUACUGUUCUUCUAAAACAGCUUUUACAAUCCUGGAACAAAAUGAAGCAGGUAAAAGGCCUGAGAGUAUGCAAAGUGACCAAUGGUUUAUAUUUAGAAGGAUUUUAAUCUCGUAGCAAAUUCAAAAUCUUCAAUUAAUUUACCUGCUUUUCCAAUACAUUUUCCUGUAUAAGACUGUAUUUAAUUAAAGUCUUUUUAAUGAUUUUCCAGUUCCUUUUAGUAGUCAUGUUUCCAGAUAUUUGCCCUCAAAGGCUUUUGAUACAUACUGUAAUUGCACAAAUCUACUGAUAUUUUUCUUAAUCCUAUUUAGUUGAACAAGUAACACUCUACUGAAAGAGCUUCUAUACUCGACAAAAAUCUAUCAAGGGUUUUACCAUUAUAUAUUUAAUGCACCUAUAUAUUUUCUUGUUUCCUCUUUCACUGCUCACCCUUCAUUAUCUCAACCAUCAUGAACAGCAAGACUACCUUUUUUCUAACCCUGUUUUAAUUUUCAUAAUUUUGAUACUUUAUUUUCAGCUUUUAAAUCAAAAGUAUUGAAAUAGUGUUAAUGUACCUAAGACUUAAUGUAGUUAACAUAGACGUGAAAAAAAGGUAAGGUUCUUAAGUUUAAAUGUGUUAAGUGAGAUUUUUAGAAAGGGUAAGCCAAUUAAUUCUUGAAAAUAACUUCCCCUUUCAGGCAAACCCCCACAUUUCUUAUUACUUUUGAAAAUUUUGGCUAAACUGUAGGGAGUGUUUGACAUUUUUUCAGUUACUAUAAUGCACCAUCUUAAAAAUAGCAUUUUAAAUAUUUAACUUAUUUCCCAAACAUAGAGGAAUCAACAUUUAAUCAUCUACUACACUGCUCCCCCCACUGGUUAAUCAUCUUAAUUACAGAUUAUUAUAUACCAAGCCACAGUAAAAGAGGUGCCCAUAAGAAAAGAUGACUUAUGUCCCAUACUACCUUCCAUAUAAACAAAAUCCUGCAUGCAGUACACCUGGCAAAGCUGGUUUAUUACUGACAUUACAGGUGAAAAGAUGUGGCUAUAUUUGAGGCAGGAAGGAAUAGGAAGAGAAAAGAAAAAGAAAGAAUAAUAGUGUUAAUAACUUCUAUUUGUUAAUGAGGAUGCAUUUGCUUCAUGUGGUAAGAUAGCCACCUAAAUCUAACAGUAGAUUAACAUAAUAUUUUAAUGUUGUGGCUAUUCUUUAUAUCAUCUUGACUGUUUUCUCUUCUGUGGUUUCAUUAGUUUUGUAAGGUGAAUGUGAUUCAUGUUUUAAAAGUAGAGUGUCAGUGUGGGUUUUUACAGGAAUUUGCCAUAUUCUGAAGUUCCUUCUGGCAAGUUACUCUUGAAUCUCUCUCCUUUUCAGCCAGACAUUGUCACUUGCUUAAUAUAUUCAAAUAUAUAUGCUAAUGGAAACACACGACUUGCUAAAGACUUUAACAUACAGUCUGCUAAAUCUUGACAUCCUAAUUCCACGGUAGGCCUACUGUAAGCUUAAUAUCUUAAAUGAAGGCAAAGUUUUCCAACAGCGUGUUCAACCAAUUUCAAGUAAACAGGCAAUAGGACUGACCAACAUAUCAAAUAACUGAACACUGGAAAGGUCAAACUGGUCUGAUUUACAGUACUGUCAUGUUGUGUAGGGUGUGUGAGGCAUUUUAAUGCUCAUUUCACAUUCCGCAAUGACAAUGUCUGUAAUGAAUAGGAAAUGACAUAUUAUGAAUUCGUUUUUGUGCUGAUAAUUGUAAUAAGAAUAGUGAAUGGUACAACAAAUCUAAUCCAUCUUCAUGACAAUUUAAAAACUGUAAUCUGAUUGCAAUCCUGAGGUAUUUUUCAGACACUUUCUAAAAUAAAACUGAAUACAAUUAAGCAGCAAAAAAUAUUAUAUUUCCCAGAUAUGGCAUAUUUAUUGGGAAGUUUUGUGAUCUGUGUAAAUCUUAUACAAAAAGCUAUCUUUUAAUUAUAUGGAAACUUUGAUUUUCCUUUAUUUUCAGCAUAGUAUGUUAUAAUUUAUUAAAACAACUUUGAAGGUCAUCAACUCCAAGCAUCAAGAGAGGAUAAAGAAAAUAAUUGGAAAAAAUUUAGUUAUUCCAAUAAUAAUGUUCCAUAUGUAAGAUAACAGGACAUACUGACGUAUUGCUUUUAAUAAACCUCUACUACCAAAACCAGGGCUUAGUUACUUUACAGAGUUCAGAACCUUUUUCUUUGGCUCGUGGGGGAAACAGGCUUGUUCCAGUGAAAGCCACAGCAUGACGCUUCCUGUGAUUUCACAGACAAUAGUUUCUGACCCCACAGUUUUGCUAGAAACAGGAGGCACAAUAUUUGCUUGCGCCAAUAUAUUACAGUUUCUACCCAAAAUAUAAGGUCCCCCCAGCCCUGCCCAGCACCCUACCGUAUUAUUUCAGUGCUCAGAAUUAAAUAUUGGUGCCACAGGAGUCUGUUGCAGAAAUUAGACUGAGUGACCUUGCUGGGACCAGAACCAUAUCCUUGCUUGCUAAGAGCUUCUGUCGUCCCCUCUGUCUACCACUGAUGACACUCGUACAACACACAAGGUCUAAAUUUCCUCAAACCACUCUCAAAUAUCCAAAUUUAAAUCCAAGGGACACUUCAGAGAUAUCCUGCCUUUGUUUCACUGUAAUUUCAGCAUUACUUUCUGUUUAAAUUCUAUUGUUUUCUUACUGUCUGGGUAAUUGAAUCAAGCCUGGGUUACAGUGGUGCUCCUAACCCAGGCUUCAAAUCAUGCAUAGGAGGGCUCAUUUAAUGAAUUAUUGCUUGAUCAGUUUAUAUAGUAUUGCUUGGCUUGCAAACCAGUUCUGUAUGUAUCUUGUUACACAGCUGAUGUUCUUGUAACUGUGCUGCUGUAUCAACUGAAAUGUAUGUUUCUGCUUAAAAUUUACUUUGGGAAUGAUUUAUUUUGUUUUCAAGAGUAAUUUGUGUGCCAAUAGACCCUGUUCUACUAAAUGCAGAAAGCAUUCUCUGAAAGGUUUAUGUAAGCAAAAAUAAAAAUUAUAAUGACAGUCUGUAA
Long non-coding RNA from Columba livia (rock pigeon), 7165 nucleotides. RefSeq lists it as uncharacterized. The record is from RefSeq and is a predicted model, not a curated record. The transcript is spliced from 2 exons. Lineage: Eukaryota; Metazoa; Chordata; Aves; Columbiformes; Columbidae.